UCCGAGCGUUAUCCGGAUUUAUUGGGUUUAAAGGGAGCGUAGAUGGAUGUUUAAGUCAGUUGUGAAAGUUUGCGGCUCAACCGUAAAAUUGCAGUUGAUACUGGAUAUCUUGAGUGCAGUUGAGGCAGGCGGAAUUCGUGGUGUAGCGGUGAAAUGCUUAGAUAUCACGAAGAACUCCGAUUGCGAAGGCAGCCUGCUAAGCUGCAACUGACAUUGAGGCUCGAAAGUGUGGGUAUCAAACAGGAUUAGAUACCCUGGUAGUCCACACGGUAAACGAUGAAUACUCGCUGUUUGCGAUAUACUGCAAGCGGCCAAGCGAAAGCGUUAAGUAUUCCACCUGGGGAGUACGCCGGCAACGGUGAAACUCAAAGGAAUUGACGGGGGCCCGCACAAGCGGAGGAACAUGUGGUUUAAUUCGAUGAUACGCGAGGAACCUUACCCGGGCUUAAAUUGCAGAUGAAUUACGGUGAAAGCCGUAAGCCGCAAGGCAUCUGUGAAGGUGCUGCAUGGUUGUCGUCAGCUCGUGCCGUGAGGUGUCGGCUUAAGUGCCAUAACGAGCGCAACCCUUGUUGUCAGUUACUAACAGGAUUUGCUGAGGACUCUGACAAGACUGCCAUCGUAAGAUGUGAGGAAGGUGGGGAUGACGUCAAAUCAGCACGGCCCUUACGUCCGGGGCUACACACGUGUUACAAUGGGGGGUACAGAGGGCCGCUACCACGCGAGUGGAUGCCAAUCCCAAAAACCUCUCUCAGUUCGGACUGGAGUCUGCAACCCGACUCCACGAAGCUGGAUUCGCUAGUAAUCGCGCAUCAGCCACGGCGCGGUGAAUACGUUCCCGGGCCUUGCACUCACCGCCCGU
RNAcentral lists this ribosomal RNA (859 nucleotides) under uncultured bacterium. RNAcentral's name for it is "bacterial SSU rRNA". It matches the Rfam family "Bacterial small subunit ribosomal RNA", at positions 533 to 1397 of the family's 1533-position model. The record is from RNAcentral.